RNAcentral lists this ribosomal RNA (1372 nucleotides) under uncultured bacterium. Its description in RNAcentral is "bacterial SSU rRNA". It matches the Rfam family "Bacterial small subunit ribosomal RNA", at positions 28 to 1381 of the family's 1533-position model. The record is from RNAcentral.
GAUGAACGCUGGCGGCGUGCCUAAUACAUGCAAGUCGAGCGAACGGACGAGAAGCUUGCUUCUCUGAUGUUAGCGGCGGACGGGUGAGUAACACGUGGAUAACCUACCUAUAAGACUGGGAUAACUUCGGGAAACCGGAGCUAAUACCUGAUAAUAUUUUGAACCGCAUGGUUCAAAAGUGAAAGACGGUCUUGCUGUCACUUAUAGAUGGAUCCGCGCUGCAUUAGCUAGUUGGUAAGGUAACGGCUUACCAAGGCAACGAUGCAUAGCCGACCUGAGAGGGUGAUCGGCCACACUGGAACUGAGACACGGUCCAGACUCCUACGGGAGGCAGCAGUAGGGAAUCUUCCGCAAUGGGCGAAAGCCUGACGGAGCAACGCCGCGUGAGUGAUGAAGGUCUUCGGAUCGUAAAACUCUGUUAUUAGGGAAGAACAUAUGUGUAAGUAACUGUGCACAUCUUGACGGUACCUAAUCAGAAAGCCACGGCUAACUACGUGCCAGCAGCCGCGGUAAUACGUAGGUGGCAAGCGUUAUCCGGAAUUAUUGGGCGUAAAGCGCGCGUAGGCGGUUUUUUAAGUCUGAUGUGAAAGCCCACGGCUCAACCGUGGAGGGUCAUUGGAAACUGGAAAACUUGAGUGCAGAAGAGGAAAGUGGAAUUCCAUGUGUAGCGGUGAAAUGCGCAGAGAUAUGGAGGAACACCAGUGGCGAAGGCGACUUUCUGGUCUGUAACUGACGCUGAUGUGCGAAAGCGUGGGGAUCAAACAGGAUUAGAUACCCUGGUAGUCCACGCCGUAAACGAUGAGUGCUAAGUGUUAGGGGGUUUCCGCCCCUUAGUGCUGCAGCUAACGCAUUAAGCACUCCGCCUGGGGAGUACGACCGCAAGGUUGAAACUCAAAGGAAUUGACGGGGACCCGCACAAGCGGUGGAGCAUGUGGUUUAAUUCGAAGCAACGCGAAGAACCUUACCAAAUCUUGACAUCCUUUGACAACUCUAGAGAUAGAGCCUUCCCCUUCGGGGGACAAAGUGACAGGUGGUGCAUGGUUGUCGUCAGCUCGUGUCGUGGGAUGUUGGGUUAAGUCCCGCAACGAGCGCAACCCUUAAGCUUAGUUGCCAUCAUUAAGUUGGGCACUCUAAGUUGACUGCCGGUGACAAACCGGAGGAAGGUGGGGAUGACGUCAAAUCAUCAUGCCCCUUAUGAUUUGGGCUACACACGUGCUACAAUGGACAAUACAAAGGGCAGCGAAACCGCGAGGUCAAGCAAAUCCCAUAAAGUUGUUCUCAGUUCGGAUUGUAGUCUGCAACUCGACUACAUGAAGCUGGAAUCGCUAGUAAUCGUAGAUCAGCAUGCUACGGUGAAUACGUUCCCGGGUCU